RNAcentral lists this ribosomal RNA (497 nucleotides) under uncultured bacterium. Its description in RNAcentral is "partial 16S ribosomal RNA". It matches the Rfam family "Bacterial small subunit ribosomal RNA", at positions 28 to 507 of the family's 1533-position model. The record is from RNAcentral.
GAUGAACGCUGGCGGCGUGCCUAAUACAUGCAAGUCGAGCGAACAGACGAGGAGCUUGCUCCUCUGACGUUAGCGGCGGACGGGUGAGUAACACGUGGAUAACCUACCUAUAAGACUGGGAUAACUUCGGGAAACCGGAGCUAAUACCGGAUAAUAUAUUGAACCGCAUGGUUCAAUAGUGAAAGACGGUUUUGCUGUCACUUAUAGAUGGAUCCGCGCCGCAUUAGCUAGUUGGUAAGGUAACGGCUUACCAAGGCAACGAUGCGUAGCCGACCUGAGAGGGGGUUCGGCAACAUUGGAACGGAGACACGGUACAGCCUCUUACGGGAGGAAGCAGUAGGGAAUCUUCAGCAAUGUGGGAAAGCCUGACGGAGCAACGCGGCGGGAUUAACAAAGGGCUUCGAAACGUAAAAUUCUGUUAUUAUGGAAGAACAAAUGUGUAAGUAACUAUGCACUUCUUGACGGUACCUAAUCAAAAAGCCACGGCUAACUACGUG